UACGGAGGGGGUUAGCGUUGUUCGGAAUUACUGGGCGUAAAGCGCACGUAGGCGGAUUGGAAAGUUGGGGGUGAAAUCCCAGGGCUCAACCCUGGAACUGCCUCCAAAACUAACAGUCUAGAGUUCGAGAGAGGUGAGUGGAAUUCCAAGUGUAGAGGUGAAAUUUGUAGAUAUUUGGAGGAACACCAGUGGCGAAGGCGGCUCACUGGCUCGAUACUGACGCUGAGGUGCGAAAGCGUGGGGAGCAAACAGGAUUAGAAACCCUAGUAGUCC
This 273-nucleotide ribosomal RNA is filed under the name uncultured bacterium. Its description in RNAcentral is "partial 16S ribosomal RNA". It matches the Rfam family "Bacterial small subunit ribosomal RNA", at positions 524 to 796 of the family's 1533-position model. The record is from RNAcentral.